AACGCAUAUUGCGCCUGCGGCUCCGGCCAAUGGCAUGUCUGCCUCAGCGUCGGGCUAACAUCAUGACGUGAUCAUUGUCUCAUCAUGGUUGUGGUCGUUCCAUUCAGUUAUCAGAGUGGAUCGAUUGAAGCGGAAUGACAUCUCUGCUACUCGAAACCCUGUAUUGGGUUCGACAACUAGUCAGAGUUUGGUAUACAUGGUCACUUCGGUGUGCGUGUUUCCAUCCUUGAUUUAGUUGUUGCCUUCGUUGCUGAAGGAAGAGUGUAUGUGGUGGUGUCCAAACCGGGAAUCAACAAUAGACAAUUAUUAUCUCGACCUGAGCUCAGGCAAGAACACCCGCUGAACUUAA
RNAcentral lists this unclassified non-coding RNA (349 nucleotides) under uncultured fungus. RNAcentral describes it as "partial contains 5.8S ribosomal RNA, internal transcribed spacer 2, and large subunit ribosomal RNA". The record is from RNAcentral. Lineage: Eukaryota; Fungi.